Molecule: ribosomal RNA, 482 nt
Filed under: uncultured Sphingobacteriales bacterium
Lineage: Bacteria; Pseudomonadati; Bacteroidota; Sphingobacteriia; Sphingobacteriales
Description: bacterial SSU rRNA
Rfam family: Bacterial small subunit ribosomal RNA
Source: RNAcentral
AACUUAAAGGAAUUGACGGGGGCCCGCACAAGCGGUGGAGCAUGUGGUUUAAUUCGAUGAUACGCGAGGAACCUUACCUGGGCUUAAAUGGGGAGUGACAGCUGUCGAAAGAUGGUUUUCUUCGGACACUCUUCAAGGUGCUGCAUGGUUGUCGUCAGCUCGUGCCGUGAGGUGUCGGGUUAAGUCCCAUAACGAGCGCAACCCUUACCGUUAGUUACCAUCAGGUUAAGCUGGGGACUCUAGCGGGACUGCCACCGUAAGGUGAGAGGAAGGUGGGGAUGACGUCAAAUCAGCACGGCCCUUAUGUCCAGGGCUACACACGUGUUACAAUGGCCGGUACAAAGGGCAGCUACUUCGCGAGAAGAUGCUAAUCUCGAAAGCCGGUCUCAGUUCGGAUCGAAGUCUGCAACCCGACUUCGUGAAGCUGGAUUCGCUAGUAAUCGCGCAUCAGCCAUGGCGCGGUGAAUACGUUCCCGGGCCUU